This is a long non-coding RNA of Fundulus heteroclitus (mummichog), 1232 nucleotides long. RefSeq lists it as uncharacterized. The record is from RefSeq and is a predicted model, not a curated record. NCBI's taxonomy places the organism in Eukaryota, Metazoa, Chordata, Actinopteri, Cyprinodontiformes, Fundulidae. The transcript is spliced from 2 exons.
ACCUCUUACCACAUGGUGGCGCUUUGUAUCAGGUCACCGCCAGUGAGCAUAAACACUCACACUGAUAGACCGAGCCGAGAGCAACACACCAGUUGAGCUAAUUAGACUGAGAGAGAGAAUCUUAUGAGCCUUGAGAGGAAGAGAGGAGCUGCUUCGACCACAUAUAAGCCCUCUGAACUCCGCUAAGAGUUGGGCUACGUGCUAGCAUGUUAAGAUGCUGGGCUUCGCUUAUUAGCUUGUAGGAGUGAGGAUGUUAUUUGCUGAGGCAGUUUCAUAAAACCAGUCGGAGUUAUUAUCCAAUGUUUGACCCACCGUGGUACUGUGUAUCAUUGUGCUUUAUGAAAAAUAACUGAAAAGAUGGCUAUUUACAGUGCUAACGCUAAUCGCGGGUAGCUUGCUAUGCUAGCACAGGUAGCCUACAAUGCUACUGUGUCAUUAGACACAGAGAGAGAUACAAUUUGAUGGUAAGAUGCAAGAACAUUGUUCUUAUGUACUGUUUUUGUGUACAUAAUGUGAUUUAUUUCAUUGUGGUUAUUCAAAUACUCAUAAUGAUUAAAAAGAGUGAAUGAUAAAAUGUAUUCAUGGUUAAAAAGGUUAAAAGACAUAAAGUGUUCUAGUUAAAAAAGAUAAAUAUUGAUUCAAAAGCUGGUUAUUGAUACAAAUACUGCUUUAAAAGACUGUGAAGUCCAUUUGUGUUACGGAUAUAAGUUCUUAAUGUAUAAUUGUGUUGAAGUAACACUAAAGUUUUGUACGCUAUCAUUUACAAUGAUUUGGUUAAGAAAAUGCAGAGAAUCAGAGUAAGAGUAGUGAUGAAUAUAGUACUAAUAGAAAUUAGUUUCUGCACCAUGUGUGUAGAUUGGUUUUAUAUUUCUGCUGGAUCAGGAAUUGAUCUACAGGAAGAAUUCUGAGCCUUCCAUGUUUCAGUGGCGACAGGAAAGGAGAACGGGAUCAACUUCACAAGAACUGCAGACAUCUUCCUACUUCUCUGAUACAGAUAAGCGCGCUCAAUACGAACUAAAACCUACCCGGGUAGUAGAAGAGUAAAUGAACAGACAACACAUACACCACACAGAACAAAGCUUUUCUUCUGGCAUCGAAGAAAAGGACACUUUUAUUUUAACUUUUCUAUUAUAUUUUUGUUUAUCAAAGAGCUCUAUUUUGUUGGUAUUGUUUUAAUUCUUUGUAUUAAAAGAAAUAAUACUUGUUGAAUGCAAUAAAUGAUCAUUGUUCAA